RNAcentral lists this non-coding RNA (68 nucleotides) under Paracoccaceae bacterium. The record is from RNAcentral. Lineage: Bacteria; Pseudomonadati; Pseudomonadota; Alphaproteobacteria; Rhodobacterales; Paracoccaceae.
AGCCGAAACGAGCCGACAGGCCCGUCACCGGGGCAAGGGCAAACCCGGUCUGAUGAUGGCAGCCCGAC